AACGAACGCUGGCGGCAUGCCUAACACAUGCAAGUCGAACGAGACCUUCGGGUCUAGUUGCGCACGGGUGCGUAACGCGUGGGAACCUGCCUUUAGGUACGGAAUAACUCAGAGAAAUUUGAGCUAAUACCGGAUGAGGUCUUCGGACCAAAGAUUUAUCGCCUUUGGAUGGGCCCGCGUUGGAUUAGCUGGUUGGUGGGGUAAAGGCAUGCCAAGGGGAGGAUGCAUAGCUGGUCGGAUAGGAGGAUCAUCCACACUGGGACUGAGACACGGCCCAGACUGCGACGGGGAGCAGCAGUGUGGAAUAUUGGAGAAUGGGGGCAAGCCUGAUCAAGCCAUGCCGGGUGAGUGAUGAAGGCGGUAGGGUUGUAAAGCUGUUUGACCCGAGACGAUAAUGACAGUAUCGGGAGAAUAAGCACCGGCUAACUACGUG
Molecule: ribosomal RNA, 433 nt
Filed under: uncultured bacterium
Lineage: Bacteria
Description: partial 16S ribosomal RNA
Rfam family: Bacterial small subunit ribosomal RNA
Source: RNAcentral